This 1092-nucleotide long non-coding RNA is filed under the name Numida meleagris (helmeted guineafowl). Its description in RNAcentral is "lncRNA (ENSNMEG00000011437.1)". Lineage: Eukaryota; Metazoa; Chordata; Aves; Galliformes; Numididae. The record is from RNAcentral.
GAAUAAAAUUAAAAUAAAUAGAGGAGUGUUUUAAUGAGUGCAGCAGUGAAAGCGGGAUUAGAGGGGCCUGAAUGGCAUCUCUAUUUCCCGUAUGGAAAGGAGUGCUGCCCGGUGCAACCAGAGCUGACAAAAAAAAUUAGCUGGGCCUCAGGCUCAGAGAAACAUUUGGCAAGAAAGGAAAGAAGGUAAUUGCUGCAAAUGGAGACUAAUUCAGGAAGCAGCCAGCUCUACACAGGGCCGGUUCUUUUGCAGCUAGAGUGCUGCGGACGCUUUGUGAAGGCUGGGCUGAAAAAAACACACUGAAAUCUCAGAGUAAGAAAAAAUAAAGACAAAAAAAAUCAACAAAUCUGUCCUUCCUGUGGCUCACACAUGUUCAGCAUUUCUUUUCUUCUCACUCCCAAAGGAUGCCAGGGGUCCUAGCCAGCCUUGCCUUCUCUGGUCCGUCCGAUGGCACAGAGGGAGUCUCUACUAGCAUAGACAGCCUGCACCUUCUAAAUGGAGGCCUCUGCUGGAUGACACCACCAUCACUAAAAAAAAACAGGUGCCUUACAAGUAAUCACAGCCAAGAAGUCCCUGCCUUGACCUACUGAAGCUACAGGACCAAACUCAAGUUAGACCUCAGCUGCUGUAGACUCUGCUUCUCCGGCCCCUGCCCAGGUGAUUCUUGUCUGCUGGCUCCGACACUGCCUGUCUUGUUCCACGCAUUGUGCCACCACAUCCCAUCUUCCAUGAAACACAUCUCCCUUUUGGGUCUGGAAGCUCCUUCGCCAUUCUCCCUUGUGUACACGGCCAGCUGUGGCCCAUGGAGGUGCAACCUCACUCGUGACCAGCCAAGAAGCAGACAGCAGAAACAGGCAGGGAGCACGGGCUUCCUUAAUACAGAGCCUCUCUCCAGUUAGACAUGUGAAAUUCAGCCCUCACUGAGGCCCCUAGGAAUUUGCCAUCACUAUCCAAAAAUGGGAGGUUUUCGCCCCAAGACACGUAGCAGAGUAAGUCAUACGAAGCAAAUGUGAUCAGAGGUUGGCAUAUUUAAAGGUGACUUAAGGAUCCCGACACUCAAUUCUCAUGAAAAUAAAUGGGAAGCAGUAGGCA